GUUAUUGUAGCUUACACCAAAGCACAGCACUGAAAAUGCUGAGACGGUAUUACACCCGAAUAACA
RNAcentral lists this transfer RNA (65 nucleotides) under Python molurus molurus. Its description in RNAcentral is "tRNA-Phe". Lineage: Eukaryota; Metazoa; Chordata; Lepidosauria; Squamata; Pythonidae. The record is from RNAcentral.